This 372-nucleotide ribosomal RNA is filed under the name uncultured bacterium. Its description in RNAcentral is "bacterial SSU rRNA". It matches the Rfam family "Bacterial small subunit ribosomal RNA", at positions 525 to 895 of the family's 1533-position model. The record is from RNAcentral.
ACGGAGGGUGCAAGCGUUAUUCGGAUUUACUGGGCGUAAAGGGCGCGUAGGCGGCUUGAUAAGUCAGUCGUGAAAGCCCGGGGCUCAACCCCGGAAGUGCGAUUGAAACUAUCAGGCUUGAGUAUGGUAGAGGGAAGUGGAAUUCCUGGUGUAUCGGUGAAAUGCGUAGAUAUCAGGAGGAACACCGGUGGCGAAGGCGACUUCCUGGACCAAUACUGACGCUGAUGCGCGAAGGUGUGGGUAGCAAACAGGAUUAGAUACCCUGGUAGUCCACACAGUAAACGGUGAUCACUAGGUGUUGCGGGUAUUGACCCCUGCAGUGCCGGAGCGAACGCAUUAAGUGAUCCGCCUGGGGAGUACGGUCGCAAGAUU